Long non-coding RNA from Nycticebus coucang (slow loris), 555 nucleotides. RefSeq lists it as uncharacterized. The transcript has 3 exons. The record is from RefSeq and is a predicted model, not a curated record. NCBI's taxonomy places the organism in Eukaryota, Metazoa, Chordata, Mammalia, Primates, Lorisidae.
CCAAGGAGCCAGAACUAAAGAGCUGGCCACAUCUGUAAACAGGAGCGCUGUGAGCACGCUGGCAGAUGUGGCAGGGGGUUGAGCUGGAAGCUGCUCGACACGUCGACUGGCCUGUCCGGGGUCAACGCCACAUUGCGAGAGACAAACAAGCUCCUGCAUGACUCGAACCUGACCACUCUGUUAGUGGAAAGAAAAAAGAUGUGGAAACACAAGCCAACCUUCUAUUUGAUCAGUUGAAACCUUUGAAGAUUUUAGAAGAGAAUCUGAACAGAAACCUUUCCGAAAUUAAACUGCUGAUCAGCCAGGCCCGGAAACAAGCAGCUUCUAAAUCUCCUGUCGUGAAGGUAACCAUUUCAGAGACUGCAUGGGAGAAGCUUUCUUAAAUGGAAAAUCCAUCAGCCUGUGGAACCACCUAGAAAGGGAGGGUAAAUGUCACGGCUGCUUUGGAAGGUGAGAUGUCACCACAAUUUUACACGUGAUGUGUCAUUCUGUUAACAUCUGAGGGCUGUGGAAAAAACUUAAUGCACAUCAGAGGGUUUGUGCUAUUGUUUAUUU